UGCCUUGCCGUGGAUUGUUGUUUGUAUUUUGUAUUAUUUGUGCUUUUUAAGAAUAUUUUUUAAUUCGGAUACUUUUAUAAUAGCUUUAAUAGUAUUAUUAACAUAGUGCAUAAAAUGGUGUCCUGUUUUUAACGCAGUUGGAGUAGCAGAAACAAAUGUAGAUAAAAAAAUCUGCAGGAAUAACGUUUCAAUUAUGACAGAAGCUCAAAACAAAUGACUGUGAAUGAAAAGCCCUAUUAAAAGCUUUCCAGAAGAUCCUGCGAAGAAGACAAGAAAGUAUAGAUUAGAUUUGUUAAUAGAGGAGUAUGUUCAAAACACUUUUUAGAAAAAGAUAUUGACAGAACUUCACUUUCAUCUGUUCGUUUGAGAGACUGUGCUGUUCCAAUAGCUUAUGUCACACAGAAUCAGCUGAGAGAAGUGGUCUACAAAAAACCAGAAAGGAAACGGAAUAUGUGGCUACGAAAAGCAAAAGAAAGGUUUACAAAGCAAAUGUGACACAUUUUUUUAUAAUAUUUAGGAAUGUCAGCAAAUUACAUUAAAAAAUGUAUGUAAAGAUUUUUUGCAAUAAAAAUGUUUAUAUUUAUCAAGGAUGUAUUAUUUGGUAUGGC
Long non-coding RNA from Diabrotica virgifera virgifera (western corn rootworm), 608 nucleotides. RefSeq lists it as uncharacterized. Lineage: Eukaryota; Metazoa; Arthropoda; Insecta; Coleoptera; Chrysomelidae. The record is from RefSeq and is a predicted model, not a curated record. The transcript has 3 exons.